Molecule: ribosomal RNA, 452 nt
Filed under: uncultured bacterium
Lineage: Bacteria
Description: bacterial SSU rRNA
Rfam family: Bacterial small subunit ribosomal RNA
Source: RNAcentral
AGCGAACGCUGGCGGCAGGCUUAACACAUGCAAGUCGAGCGGGCACCUUCGGGUGUCAGCGGCAGACGGGUGAGUAACACGUGGGAACGUACCCUUUGGUUCGGAACAACUCUGGGAAACUGGAGCUAAUACCGGAUACGCCCUUAUGGGGAAAGGUUUACCGCCGAAGGAUCGGCCCGCGUCUGAUUAGCUAGUUGGUGAGGUAACGGCCCACCAAGGCGACGAUCAGUAGCUGGUCUGAGAGGAUGAUCAGCCACACUGGGACUGAGACACGGCCCAGACUCCUACGGGAGGCAGCAGUGGGGAAUAUUGGACAAUGGGCGCAAGCCUGAUCCAGCCAUGCCGCGUGAGUGAUGAAGGCCUUAGGGUUGUAAAGCUCUUUUGUCCGGGACGAUAAUGACGGUACCGGAAGAAUAAGCCCCGGCUAACUUCGUGCCAGCCGCCGCUGUAAG